Long non-coding RNA from Vidua macroura (Pin-tailed whydah), 3277 nucleotides. RefSeq lists it as uncharacterized. NCBI's taxonomy places the organism in Eukaryota, Metazoa, Chordata, Aves, Passeriformes, Viduidae. The transcript has 3 exons. The record is from RefSeq and is a predicted model, not a curated record.
GGCGGCUCGGGGCCGCGGGGUCGCAGCGCGGGACGGGACCCCCGGGACCGUGCAACCCGGCUGGGCCCUCACACCGCACCCCGAGCGGAACCCCGUGCGUCUGAGCGUUUGCCAGCACCUUCUGAACCCUGUCAGCCUUGGUGCUGUGCCCACCGCCCUGCGGAGCCUGUUCAGUGUCCAACCUCCUGAGAAUGACUUUUUCCCGAUCUCCAGCCUCAGCCUCUCCUGACCCAGCUCUCUGCCGUUCCCUCAGGUCCUGUCGCUGUCAGCACAGAGCAGAGAUCGCUACUGGCCCCUCACUUCCCCUCAUGAGGAUGCUGGAGAUUGCUGUGAGCUCUCCCCGAGUCUCCUGCAGGCUGAACAGACCAAGUGUCCUAAAGCACUCCCACGGCAUCCCGCCUUCACCAUGCUCGCGGCCUCCUUUGGACACUCCCGGAUAGCUGAAUGAGUUUUUCUAUACUGCGAUGCCCCAAACUGUGUCCCCUCAGUGCCCCCUAGAGAGUCCCGUGUGUGGCCCUGGAGCCCUCAGUGAGGAGAUGUGGUGACGAUCUGCAGGAGAGCCCGGCUGUGCCCGGUCCUGUCCCCUCAGUGCAGUCUCGGUGUGCACCACGGUGACACUGCUGAGGGGACAGGAGCCUGGUGACAGCGCUCUGGGGCGACCUGCCCGGGAGCCCAGCAUGCCCAUCUCUCCCAAAGGCAAACACGCGAGCCUGGACAGUGCUGCAGACCCCGAGACAGGCAAUGGGACACUUUUCUCAAUCAUUUUGCCAGCUAAAAUUGCUGCAAUUCCAAACAGCAUCUAACAGAAACAUGGGGAAUGUGAGGUUUGGGAAGCAUCAGAGCACAAGGAACCACUCUUGAGGGAAUUUCUCCUACCCCACUCCCAGACUGAAGUUCCAUCUCUAAAAAUUGCAUCCCCCAUAUUUUGUUGUAUAAAGGAGAGGAAUAACAGAGGAUCUUUAUAUUCAUUGGGAUCCAGUUAAAGAAAAUUCUCCUUUCGAUACAAGUGUUCAGCUGGGGAUUAGGAGCCCUGUGUCCUCUAUCCCACAACACUGCAAGAAGGAUUACACUGGCCUGGAGUGUUUACAGUCUGAAGGACAAGCAAACAAAAGCGAGAGAGACAGAACAGUUACUGCAAUUCUUGUGAUUUUCACUCCUAGAGAGAAAAGACAGAUAAUUAAAUCUUUAAAAAACCCCACAAAUCUGAUGAAAAGUGAGAAGAGAAAUGCCUGAAGCAAGAAAAGGGGCACAAUAUUGUCAACUGCUAUGGACGAGUUGAGACUUUCAGCUUUCUUUAAGUCUUGCUUUCUGCUUUGAAUUCAUUACAGUGAUGAUUCUACAAUGUAAUGAAUAACACUUAAAAUGUUUGAGUACAGUAUCUGAGGAUGCAGAAUCCAGGCCACAGUUCCAAUUCUGGCAUGAUUCCAUUUCCAUUAAGACUGGUGGCAAUAGGGCAGGCCUUAACCCACAGAAGUGCUUCAGAAGGCAGCAGUUUAUAUCCUCCCAGAGGUGAGGCUUCAGCUCCUACUGCAACGUCUAUACAAUGUCCAGAACAAUCCAGAAUCCGAGGAUCUCAACAUCCUAUCCAACAGCCUACACAGUGCCUGUCUCCAAGGAACAGCAAUGAUGGUAAAACUGCUUUUGUGGCAGUGCAGUGAUAUCAGACACUACCUUCCCCUUGUGCAUUUCGUCAGCAAAGGAAAGGGGAUUGGGUUGAAAGGACAGAUGUCACUGUUGUCACUAAGAUCCCAAGGCACAAAGUCUUUUGUCUUUAUCAUUUGAUAGCAGUCGUUUCCCCAUGGGCUCCAAUGCAGCUCAGCCUCGUGGUGCGCUAGACACAGAAAACCAAACCCUGCUGCUGUCUUGGUAAUUUACACAGGGUGUCAGAAUGACCUUCUAGAAACCACAAAUGUGACCACAAUCCAACACUAUUCUCUCGAGAUAUGCCUGUCAAAUGGAAGGUGGCUUUGUCAACAGGUUUGGAACUUUUUUUAAAAUCUAUUAUUAUUUUAAAAUUUGUUUACAGCAGUGUAAUAUGUAGGUGUUUUUCUAGGAAAGGUCAAAGCCCUCUGUAUUUUUGAUUGGAGCUGCAUCGUUACAUGGUUUAUGAGUUUGCUUUGUGUUCAGAAAACCAGCAGCACACAGGAUUCUGUGGCAUUUCUGCAGCACUGAAUGUGUGUCUUUGUAUCGGAAGAUUUUUCUUCACAAUAACCCAGUAACAAGUUGUUUAUGUAGGAGAGCAGGCUGUGAUGAAAGCUAUAUUAAAUUUUAUCCAUGCUCUUUUACAAUAAUCACACAUAAAUAGCAUACUUCCAGAGGCAAAUGUAACAAAUGUAAUGUUUCCCAUUUCUAGUAGAACCUGAAUCAUUAUUUUUUUCAGAGAUAUAGUCAUAUAUAAAAAAAUUCAACAAUAUUAGUGUGUGGUGUGUACCUUCUUUGUGUAGUCUGAAGACUGCAAGUUAUCUCAACAAUCUUUGCCCAUUGUUUGAAUUUCUAAACUCAGACUGUAGCAAUGAAUUAUUUUAGCUUUGAAUAUCUCUUUUUCAAUCCUUGCUCAGUAUAUUACAUAAAUGGAACCUGAUAUAGGAUUUGCAGCAUUCAGAUCUUCUGGACAAAUUCAUUCCCAGAGAUGAAGUAUAAAAUCUUUUGAUGAGUACAGAAUCUCAGUUUAGACUAAAAAAGUUUAGGCUUUUAAUGCAAGAGGCUUCUGCUUCAACUCUUAUGCUGCUGGUCUUGCCAUUCUGUAAUACACUCAGCUUCCCCCUCCCUCCAAGCAGUGAUAAUAACCAUCACCCACACAUACUUUUAUAUCCUUUAGCAAUUCUUCCAUCGAAAUUGGAGAUGGAUUAUUUCUUAUAUGGCUUCCCAAAUUAAAACUGAGGAGUUUUAACAACAUGUAGCCAGUAUGUUUUUGGAAUUUCAUCCCCCCAAAGUAAAAGCACUUGGAAAUUUCUGAUGGGUUAUGAGUACAAAAAUUAUCUUAACAGUUCUGUUCUUAAAAAGAAAUGACAAGGAUGUUAUUCAAUUUUCCACAGAGGUAUGACAAUAGUGACUAUUUUUGUUUUGAGGGAAGAGGGCAGUGUGAGUACAAGAUUCACCACUCGAUGGCGCCUUGAUUCUGUUCAUCUCCAUUUCUUUUUCCUCUCUGAUGUCUUGACACAAAAUCCCAAAACUGGCUUUGUAGUAAAUCUGUCUGGGAAAGAAUAUUUAUCACAUAUUUCCAAACGAUAGUUUUUAAUGUCUUCUGCAGAAGUAAAUAAAAUUAUUUAAAUUUUCA